This is a long non-coding RNA of Poecilia latipinna (sailfin molly), 6778 nucleotides long. RefSeq lists it as uncharacterized. The transcript is spliced from 2 exons. The record is from RefSeq and is a predicted model, not a curated record. NCBI's taxonomy places the organism in Eukaryota, Metazoa, Chordata, Actinopteri, Cyprinodontiformes, Poeciliidae.
GCUGAACGUAGAAUGCUGAUUGAUUCAGUCGUGGGGGUGGGGGAGAAGUGUGGACGUCCGUGCGCCUGGUUUAUUUAGAGGUCUGUGUUUUAAAUGUCCUGAAGAAGACCUGGUUUUAUUUGGAAUCCGGCUGCUGUGUCGUAAAUAAGAUAAGAGCCGCAUCAGUUGCAGUAUUUUGGGGGAGAAAAACGGCGAUGUCUAUGCACCAAAUGCAUAGGUGUGUGACGCGGAGAAGCGGUAUGGACACAUAUGCUCUUGCUCGUAAUGGUGCAUUUAACAAAAAUAAAAUAAUAAAAAAAAAACCUCAACACAAAUCUGUUUAGGGCUCCAGUCGAUGUUUUUUGCACUUUUUUUUUCUCACGGAGAUAAAGGCGUCUAUGUCUUUUGGCUGCGCCUCCAUUUUCAUCACACACUAGGGGGGGGAGGAAAGGGGGUUUCAGGGGUGUCAAUCACUUCUCUAUUCUCCAGCUUUGAGGCUGGAUACCAUUCCCUAUUUUUGGAUCACACACAGUCACGCACCUCAAUAACAAUGGUUCAUAGCUGCUGCUGUCCCCCCCACCCCCUCAAACAAACACACUCUUCUGGAACCCCCAGGGACCCUCCCAUGUGGCCUUUAUUGUUAAACGAGAUGAGGGGGGGGGGGGGGGGAAGAAAAAAGAAAAAAAAAGAGAAAGAGCUUACUUUAAAUGUGUGAUUGCAUUUAGCUGUUCUUGCAGGUCAGCUAAAACCUAAAGGGAGACACCUUGGGAUGUGUUCCUCCCAGCUCUGCACAUAAGAGUCUAAUUUGACUGAGGCAUUUUGUAUGGAAAUGGAUGUCAGACUUUCUGUAGGUCAAUAUAUGACAUAUGAGCCUGUUGUCAGUGCAGGAUUUGCUCUCCAAAAGCUCCUGGGUCUUUUCAUUUUAUUAUUAUUUUUUUUUACUGUGUUCUGUUUUCCCUCAUGAAUAAAUAUUCAGCUGAGUGGAGCUGUUUAUUAUCAGACUGUGCAUCCAUCAGUUAGUUAGCCCCCUCUUGGGAAAAGAUGACACGACCGUGUCCUCUGGGCUGAAGCCAUAUGUACCCAGUACGGAUUACUACACAGUGUGUUCAUUCUCCCAUUUUGCAACGAUAAACUUCCAUGUGUUUUACUGGAAUUUAUAUGUGGUAACUCAAGCUAAUCACCAUGAAGUGGUAAGAAAAUGAUACAUGCUUUUUAAAUGUACUUAUUUUAUAGAAAUUGUUGUACCGCGCAUAUGCACUCAGCCUUAAGACUCAAGAAUCUCCUUUUGCUUCAAUCUCAGCUGCAACUUGUUUUACCAACUUUGCACAUACAGAGACAAGUUCUGGCACAUUUUUGUGCAAAAUACCGUAGAUCAGUCAGACUGGUUAAAGAGCAUCUCUAAUGUCCUGUCGGUAUCCUCUUCCAUCCAUUUACAAACACAAUUUCUGACUGGCUUCCUUUCAACAAUGGCUUUCUUCAAACCAGAUUUGUGGAUGUAAUGUCAACACAUUCUUCCGCCUGAGCUAUGGAUCUCUGCAGCUCCUCCAAGGUUAUCUAUUGCCUUGCAUUUCACUGCAUGUAGAGCUGAAACUCUUUUGGGGUCGGUCUUCAACAGCGUCGCACUAAGACUGAAAUCUCAAAUUAGCUCAAGUUAUGUCAGAUUGGACUUCAUGCAUAUGAGGACAUACAUUUUUCAGCUCUUGUCACAUAUUCCCAGUGGAUUUAGGUCUGGACUUGGACUAGGCUGUGAUCUAUGCCCUUUCAUUGUAUCUCUGGCUGUACGUUCAGAGCUGUUGUUCUGCUGGAAGGUAAACCUAUGCCUUAGUGUCAGGUUUUCUGUGAACUCCAAUAAGUACGAUAGUCCUAUUUGUUUGGCUCAAUCCGUCUUCACAGCUUUCCUGUCCCUGCUGAAUAAAAGCACUUCCACAGUGAGCUCGUUUCAUUGUAAGCAUGGUGUUUGCUGGGUGAUGUGUUGUGUUGACUUUCUGCCGCACUCAACGUUUUGUGUUUUGGGCCAAAAAGUUUCAUUUUGGUCUCAUUUGACUCCUUCUUUCACGCGUUUGCUUGUCCAACAGAAGGACUGUGGCAAAAUGUAAAUUGAACUUCUGAUGAUUUUAUUUUAACAAUGACUAUCUUCUUGGCAAUAAUCCACAAAGAUUAUCUUAACUGACCUCUGGAUCUCUGCGGCUUCACCAGAGUUACCAAGAGUCUGUCGACUGAUUCUGUUAGUAAUGCUCCUCUUGCCUGUCAGUUUAGAUGGACAUCUGUGUCGUUGUCGGUUUGCAGUUGUUUUACAUUUUCAAAUGAUGGAUUGAACGGAGCUGUCUGAGUGGUUCACAGCUUGGAGUACUCAUUUAUAACCUAACCGUGGUUUAAACCUCUCCAUGCUAUGUGUUCAGAAAUAAAACUGGCCAUUACAAAGCAUCUGUAUUUAUUGUGAGAUAAAAUUACACACAGUGACUUCUGAAUGUGAUCGACUGACUAGGGAAAUCAGAGCACAUGCUUAUGAUUUUAUUUAUAUAUAGUUAGGAAAGCAUUUAUCAUUUUUCAUAAAAUUCCAAUAAGCAGCAUUCAUGGAUUAUAAAGGAACCUGAUGUGUAAAAUGUCCCUUUUGUAAGGAACUGCUUGUAAAUGUGUUUUUUAUAAGGUCAGGUUGUUAUAUGUUGGAGCUUCGCUGCUUCAUCUCUCAUGUAUGCAUUUGUGUUCAUGCCCCCACUCCCUCUUCCAACACACACACACACACACACACACACACACACACACACACACACACACACACACUCAUGCUCACGGCAAGCGGCUCACUCCAAUUCCUCCUCCGAGCAUCCGGCUGUUCCUCGCUCCUCCUGCUCCUCUGAUCACUAUCGUGCUCUCAAACCCAAUCUGAUCCCCUCUUACCCCCCUCCCCCACCAGCCCACCACUCAUCCUCUUUCCGGAUGUCAAUCUAUAAUUGAAGAUGCUUAAUCAUAUCGCAGUGAAGCGGAACACAUGACACCGGAGCUGUGCAUGCUCAGGAUACACAUUUUUGCGUGCCAUCACAUCCGACCGGUCAUCCCAUACUGUAUCUGUUAUGAUGAUAGAAGAGGAGGGAGGGGGGGUGAGAGGGUGGACGUGUAACACUGGCUCUGCUAAUUGCGAAGUCAAUUAGCAUAUGGUCUUGCUGUAAGCCCAGUCACAUGAUAAUGAGGUAUAAUUAGGGGGACCAGGGAUCUUUGAGGAGGCAGGGGAUGAAUAUGUGCACUGACAGUUUCCAUAAAAUGGCUCCCAGGAGGUUGGAAAUAUCUCAUUCUUUUUAAGCGUGCAUUUAAUCAUCUGUUGCGUUUCUCCUUUCGGAUUUUUUAUUUUUUCCAGGCUCCUUCUACAUUUAAAAGCAGGUUUGCAUCCAAAUGUUACAAAACUCAGCAAUUAUGUCUUGGUCUAAAAAGAAGAAAAUCCAUGGGAAAGGACCACAUUUGCUCACACCUACAUUCAUUUUAAAAGCACCAGUUAACCAAGUGAGCAUAUUUUGGGAAUGUGGGAGGAAACAGUAGUACUCAGAGGAAACCUACGCAUGCAGAGCAUAAAAACUGCACGAGAUUGGAGCCUGGAACAAUUGGCAGCCUAAACUUCUGUAUCAAGAACUCAUCUGUUUUCAUUUACAUUAAGAUUAUUAAAAGAACAAUUAUGCACCUUUAGCUGAGUGUAGUUAUUUCUUCAAAAUUAAAAUGACUCAGACUUUAGUGGGUAGUCUACUGCCACAUUUUCUCAUCCGUACUCUCCUUUGCCUCUUAUUUUGAAUUUUUGUAAAUCUCACUAGCUGCUGCAAAGGACAAAAGACGAGCUAAAUGUUUUCAGUGCAAAGAUGCACGUUUGCAUUCUCUCUGGUAAAGUCAGUCUUCUAAUACAGAAACUGAAAUGACAAAAAAAAAAAAAAACAAUAAUACAAAAUUUGACAAGGGAUUAAAACAAAAACAAAAUAUAAUAAGGGUAAAGAUCCUAAGAGAUUUUUCUGAUGUAGUUUCCACUAAGCAAAGAAUUUUAAGUAAUUACAAACCGAUCUUAACUUAUGACAGAGUUCUGUAGUGAUGUAGCACAAAAGUACAAGGAGAAAUUUUAACUUGCUAGAGCAUUUAUGCAGCAAUUAAAAUUUGCUUGUCCGUUUGGAUAAAUCUUUUGUCUCAGAUAAAUGUAGUUUAUCUGAGACAAAAAUCAACCUGAGAGUAGUUGAUGUGGCCUAAGGCUGCAGCAAAACAAACAGCUUCACUGUUUGUUCAAUGGCAGAACAAAUCUUUAUUCUGCCAUUGUUCUGUCUAGGUGUGAGCCUCUACACUGUCAGUGUGAUAACAUUAUAAACACAUUUGAUGGUAUUUAUGGUAUAUAGAGUAUUUACUAACACUAUCUUUUAUAACCCAAAACAUUGGUUUUAUUGUUUUUUUUUUAAAUUGCUUCUGUAGUUUGUCAUGUAGUUUUAAAACACUGUUGCCAUAACAAUGGGGAUUGAUUUUUCCUUUUGUUUCCUGCAAAAGGAAAUUCAGCAUUUUUGUAAUAUGGAAAAUAUUUGGUAACCACCAUGGCAGAGCAACAUGUUGGGGAGGGGCAAUGUAAAAUCUUGGGAUACCUUGAUGUAGCACCAAGUCUAAACUGAAAACCAUCUUGUGUUUACAUCUAUUGUAUAAAGGUUAUCACAGUGAAGGCUUGUUUCUAUACAUCUUAACUUCUAGGAGACAAAUGUUUAGGAUAUUUCUACACUGAUAUUUCUUUGUGUGUUUUUAUUUCGGUUUCUGCUUUCACACCUCCUGAGCAACAACCAACAUUUAAACUAAAUAACGCACAGCUUUCACUACAGAGAUGCUUUCUCUACUCGAAACUAAUAAAACCCCAACAAACCAAACUGAGUUAGCCAAAAUGUCACCCAUACAUGGAGCCAGUAUGAGAUUUUUACAGUAUGAUAACCUGGACUAACAGCUUUCAGCCAGCUAACACGUAGUGCACAGCAACAGUUGGCAUAAAAUGUGUACAAUGUUACUCUAUGCUUUUUCCAGCAGGAAAAACCUCUGGUCAACCCGGUGCUUUCUCUGGCAUCUCAUCAAAAGUGCUUCAAAUUGUAGGAAGGUUUUGAUGGAAUGUCUUUGCAGUCUCAAAAUUGUAAAACCUUAUUGUACCUUGACAUUGGUAAUCUGUCCAGGACAUAAAGACAAAAGAUAACUUCCUUCAACAGGCAGAAUCAUUAAAAGGUCCCCGCUCUCCAAAAGUAGCUAAUGUGUACUGCGGAAAAUUAUUUGGAGAAACCCCCAGAAACAUUAUAAUGGAAGCCUGGGAGUUAUUACAUACACUGUAGAUACUGCUCUUCAUUUAAUGAGUCAUUUCGGAGCAAUUAGCAGGGAGCAUUUAUUAAAUUGGUUUAAGUAAAUUAGACAUUUUUAUAAUUAAUCAUCCCUCAAUGGCUGUUUCACUCAGAAAGCAAACUAGACAUGUUUCUUUUGAAUGAUGAUUCAGAGGCAGUAAACUCAACUUCACUCCUGGAAGAAGUCAAAAAAGCUUAGCACAAAACUGACGGUCUCAUUUUAUUUGUGAUUAACUUGUGAGCUAAUAACUCGUCCCUCCAUCUGAGUAAGCGGCGGUCCGGUCGAAUAUUGCACAUUUUUUAGAAACUGAUAUUUUGUGUGUUGCUGAAAUAAUAUGGCCAAAACUGCUGCAGAACAGAAAGACACGAAGCAAGUCGUUAAAAUGCAAUAAUCGUUCUGAUCGUUACCACAGUAAUUAGACAGCAUCUGGCUGUGUGUUGCGUCUGAUAAUCAUAGGAGUCUGUAAUUGUCCUGGACCACUUGACUCAUCACGCUCCCCCCCGCCCCCCAUCCUUUUCUGUCCAGCCUGGAGCUCGUCUGAAUGACUGCAGUGCUGCACAUUUGUCCCCUCGAGCCUGUAUUCCUGUUCAGUGCUGCAAAGAAUGCAUGCUGCAUUUGCGUCACAAUGGGGAUUUGUGUUUCAACCAUGCAUGUUGUCCUCAUAAGGACAUAUAAUGCAUGCAACCAAGCUAAAUGUCAAACCUGCAGCAUGCCAACAGAGGCAUGUUGGACAUGCAUGCAGCACAAAAGCAAGCUUGCAACCUUGUGAGGUGUAGAAUAAAGGAGCUCAGUGCCGCCCGGCUGUUUGCACUUGCAGCAGAACUGGCUGGAGCUGGAUUGUUCCUGAAUUACAUAAGAAAAAGAACGAAUAAAGGCAAGUGGAAGGAAGUGGAGGAGGAGGAAGGACCACAAGGAUCUAAGAUGGAAGAAAGGGGAAGAUGAAGAGUGUUUGGAGGUCUUUUUUAAACGAGUAGCGUGUUGAAGGAGGAGGGGCACGGAUGUCUAGCAGAACAGAGAAUUUGAAACGGAGAACAGAAAUGGCGACAGAAAGGAACAUGCAUGGCGAGGCAGAAGGCCGCCGAUAAUAAGCAGCCAAUAUCAUCCUCCCUUUUCACACGGCUCACUAAUAUGAAAGAAAUGUUCUGCCAAGUCCCACUCAAAAAGCAGCCAGUGCAACCAUCUGUGCAAGAGGGAGUGAUGGGGCAGGAGGACGAGUGAGUGGAAAAGCCACUAGUGUGCAGGACGCAAGCCUCAGCCUCUUGUUGUGCAUCCGUCUUGACUACGUGGCUUUAUUGCCUCUGUCGUUGGAGCGAGACAAAGAAGGUGAUGAAGAUACAAUAAGGAAGGAGAGAGCUUUUUCCCUACAUUUGUCCUCUGCUGCGCUAUCUCUGUAAUUUAGAGACAAGAAGGACUAAUCAGAUGUGAUGUGCCACAUAUAUUUCGUUGUGCAUAAAUCUGUGCUUAAAAGCUUUGA